This 85-nucleotide transfer RNA is filed under the name bacterium. RNAcentral's name for it is "tRNA-Leu". It matches the Rfam family "tRNA". Rfam says of the family: Transfer RNA (tRNA) molecules are approximately 80 nucleotides in length. RNAcentral also lists the same sequence under 2 other names. The record is from RNAcentral.
GCCGAGGUGGUGGAAUUGGUAGACACGUACGCUUGAGGGGCGUAUGACGCAAGUUGUGCAGGUUCAAGUCCUGUCCUCGGCACCA